Molecule: long non-coding RNA, 1228 nt
Filed under: Heterocephalus glaber (naked mole-rat)
Lineage: Eukaryota; Metazoa; Chordata; Mammalia; Rodentia; Bathyergidae
Description: lncRNA (ENSHGLG00000049748.1)
Source: RNAcentral
UGAUUCCAAUAUAUGCUUCAUCAGUGAUGGAGGUUACUAUAGCUCUGUAGCAGAAACUUUCAGAGAAUGGGUUUAUAGGGUCAUUCAGUCAAUUCAGAGACUUGGAAAGUUCUGUAUGAGGGUCUGGCUGGCAGAAUUAACUUUUUGAAAAAGUUUUAUACACAGAUAUUUGUAUUAAUAAAUUGGAGCCAUAGUCCGAAGACUCAGAUCAUAAUUGGCUUAUUUUUCUAUUUCCUUAACUAUUGUAAUCUCCACUUUUAUAAUAAUUUUAAUUUGAAAGAUAAAUUUAUUUAUUUUUUUAACAGUCAGAAAUUCUUGCUGUUGUAGUCUGCAGCCUUUAAAAUGAUUGUGUUGCUUUUAGGACACUAAAAAAAGAAAGCUCCAGAAGUUGAAAGCAUGGUGCAGCAAGAUCAAAGUAAUACAAUUAACAAAGAAAGUGCUACAGCCUCUUUAUGAUGAUAGUUUCCUAAAUGCAGAGACAUUUGGCUGUAUCCACAUAGACAUUUCUAUUUUUUUUAAAUGAAAACUUGUUUCUUUGGCAAUAUUCCUAAAGGAAAUGAUUUUGUUCCUCUUACCUGAUUCUGUAGUUGUGAGACCUAUCAUGGGUAUCGGUGCUGUGUAACAAUGGAUUGUAAUGAGCAUGUGGUUCAGAAUACAUGAUGCUAAGUUUUUAAAAUAUCUUAAUGGUUCUUUUCUAUUUAUAAUUUCAAACUUUCAUAAAAUAUAACAAGAAUUUCAUAAAUUUGCUUUCAGUGAACUGCUCUUUUUGCCGAAGUAGGUCAUUAAACACAGGAUUUAUUCUUAUAAAUGGAAAUUUCUGAUCAUCUAGAAUAUUGACACUUAUUUCAAUUUGUGGUGUGUUUUUUUUUUGGACUGGAUGUAUUAGUGUUCCUCUGAAUGGUAUUGAUAAGUACUUCAGAAGAGAAAUUCAGUGAAAUAAAAGUAAUAUUUAUUCAUGGUGAUCAAUUAAUUAAGUUAUUUGCUUAACUUAAAACUACUGUGCAUAGUUCUCAAUUUUUUUGUAACUCAAUUUGCCAUGAGGUGACAGUAGAGAGUCUGAGUCUACUUGUGGAUAUGUUGGUUUAUUUCAGUGCUUGAAAAUAUACUCAAAGGUAAUUGGUUUGGGAAGACACCAUAUAAUUUUAAGUUAACCUGCAUGCUGUAAAUGUGUUUUAUGUGUAAAUAAAAAGGAAACAUUUUUGAAAUGCAAAAAAAAAAAAAAAAAAAA